GUCAGUUUGUGUGUUGCUUCU
Molecule: small RNA, 21 nt
Filed under: Arabidopsis thaliana (thale cress)
Lineage: Eukaryota; Viridiplantae; Streptophyta; Magnoliopsida; Brassicales; Brassicaceae
Description: ATSL076850
Source: RNAcentral